UCUGUCGACGAUUCUAACUUUUCACUCGCCCAUUGUCUAUGUUAUUAUUUUCUUUUAACUGGCGACGAAGAAAUUCUAUGCUAUAGAAAACCCACUUAGAAUCACAGCAUGAUCUGCUUUGCACUAAAUACGCUUAAGCAAUAAACAUACAAAUAUUUCUGGUGACUUUAUCUAAAUUUAAAUGACAACUUCUUCAAGGCAAAAACUAUAUAAAUCAAUCAAAAUUGCUUGAAAUAUUAAAGUCUUAUCGUUUCGUUGUUCGCAUUUAAUGGAACCGCAUACUUUCGUCUAAUACUCUACAAAAUAAAAGUUCAUAGAAAGGGGAGUGAAACGAAACGGCUCGUUGCUUCCACAAAGUUGGUUAUGCCUUCAAGUGGAGCUGUAUUGCAAUCGCUAGCCAAAAUCUUCGAGCUUCAUAUAACAGGUAACGCGAUGGAAUAAAUUGCAGGUGAGCAUGGAAAACAAAGGCCUAACUCAGUUGGGUAAUUGGGUUAGGCACAGCAACAAGACCUUCAAAGAAACACCCAAACAAAAAUUGCGAACAAGUGUCAAAAGAGACGGUAAAGAGACUACAACUCAACAUAUGUACAACAAUGGCAAUGGUAAAUGGCAGAUAUGAAAUCAAUUACUUACAUGCAGCAAACAAUCUAUCGUUGAUAAGAAUUCAAUUAUGUUAAUACCGAAUUUUGGGUAUCCCGAAUAGGUCAGACUGUACAUUAUGCAACAAACAAUGACUUGUUUCUCAGGUACUCUUUAGCUAUGGUUUUGAGAUUAUUAUAAGUACAUUUAGCUUGUGA
Long non-coding RNA from Drosophila nasuta, 797 nucleotides. RefSeq lists it as uncharacterized. The transcript has 3 exons. Lineage: Eukaryota; Metazoa; Arthropoda; Insecta; Diptera; Drosophilidae. The record is from RefSeq and is a predicted model, not a curated record.